Molecule: long non-coding RNA, 1013 nt
Organism: Cyprinus carpio carpio
Lineage: Eukaryota; Metazoa; Chordata; Actinopteri; Cypriniformes; Cyprinidae
Source: Ensembl
CGUUGAUAUGCAGUUGCUAGUGUGUUGCUAGAGCGUUCUUUGCUCUUCUUGGGGAUUUACUUAUUUAGCUUCGAGGGUGUUGCUAGGGGGUUGCUAGAGCGAUCUGUGCUUUUCUUGGGGCGUUACUUAUUUAGCUUCUAGGGUGUUGCUAGGGGGUUGCUAUAGCCAUCUGUGCUUUUCUUGGGGCGUUACUUAUUUAGCUUCUAGUAUGUUGCUAGGGGGUUGCUAUAGCGAUCUGUGCUUUUCUUGGGGUGUUACUUAUUUAGCUUCUAGUAUGUUGCUAGGGGGUUGCUAUAGCAUUCUAUGCUUUUCUUGGGGCAUUGAUAUGCAGUUGCUAGUGUGUUGCUAGAGCGUUCUUUGUUCUUCUUGGGGCUUUACUUAUUUGGCUUCUAGGGUGUUGCUAGGGGGUUACUAAAGCGAUCUGUGCUUUUCUUGGGGCGUUACUUAUUUAGCUUCUAGGGUGUUGCUAGGGGGUUGCUAGAGCGAUCUGUGCUUUUCUUGGGGCGUUACUUAUUUAGCUUCUAGGGUGUUGCUAGGGGGUUGCUAUAGCGAUCUGUGCUUUUCUUGGGGCGUUACUUAUUUAGCUUCUAGGGUGUUGCUAGGGGGUUACUAGAUCGUUCUGUGCUUUUCUUGGGGCGUUACUUAUUUAGCUUCUAGGGUGUUGCUAGAGCGUUCUGUGCUUUUCUUGAGGCGUUGAUAUGCAGCUGCUAGUGUGUUGCUAGAGCGUUCUUUGCUCUUCUUGGGGCUUUACUUAUUUAGCUUCUAGUAUGUUGCUAGGGGGUUGCUAUAGCGAUCUGUGCUUUUCUUGGGGUGUUACUUAUUUAGCUUCUAGUAUGUUGCUAGGGGGUUGCUAAAGCGAUCUGUGCUUUUCUUGGGGUGUUACUUAUUUAGCUUCUAGUGUGUUGCUAGGGUGUUGCUAGAGCGUUCUGUGCUUUUCUUGGGGCGUUACUUAUUUAGCUUCUAGGGUGUUGCUAGAGCGUUGCUAUAGCGAUCUGUGCUUUUCUUGGGGUGUU